AGCCCCGGGAAAAUUACGUGCCAGCAGCCGCGGUAAAACGUAGGGGGCAAGCGUUGUCCGGAAUUACUGGGCGUAAAGGGCGCGUAGGCGGUUUACUAAGUCUUAUGGUGAAAACAAUCGGCUCAACCGGUAGCGUGCCUGAGAAACUGGUAGACUUGAGGGCAGGAGAGGGGAGUGGAAUUCCCAGUGUAGCGGUGAAAUGCGUAGAUAUUGGGAGGAACACCAGUGGCGAAGGCGGCUCUCUGGCCUGUUACUGACGCUGAGGCGCGAAAGCGUGGGGAGCGAACGGGAUUAGAUACCCCGGUAGUCCACGCCGUAAACGAUGGGUGCUAGGUGUAGGAGGUAUCGACCCCUUCUGUGCCGUAGUUAACACAAUAAGCACCCCGCCUGGGGAGUACGGCCGCAAGGUUGAAACUCAAAGGAAUUGACGGGGGCCCGCACAAGCGGUGGAGCAUGUGGUUUAAUUCGACGCAACGCGAAGAACCUUACCAGGGUUUGACAUCCCCUGAUGUCUGUGGAAACACAGAGUUUUGCCUUCGGGUAAACAGGGAGACAGGUGGUGCAUGGUUGUCGUCAGCUCGUGUCGUGAGAUGUUGGGUUAAGUCCCGCAACGAGCGCAACCCCUACGUUUAGUUGCUAACGCGUGAAGGCGAGCACUCUAGAGGAACUGCCGUUGACAAAACGGAGGAAGGCGGGGAUGACGUCAAAUCAUCAUGCCCCUUAUGUCCUGGGCUACACACGUGCUACAAUGGCCGGUACAAAGGGAAGCGAAGUCGCGAGGCGGAGCAAAUCCCAAAAAGCCGGUCUCAGUUCGGAUUGCAGGCUGCAAUUCGCCUGCAUGAAGUCGGAAUCGCUAGUAAUCGCAGGUCAGCAUACUGCGGUGAAUACGUUCCCGGGCCUUGUACACACCGCCCGUCACACCGCGAAAGCUGACAACACCCGAAGCCGGUGACUUAACCUUUAUAGGAGAGAGCCGUCGAAGGUGGGGUUGGUGAUUGGGGUGAAGUCGUAACAAGGUAGCCGUAGAAUC
Molecule: ribosomal RNA, 1030 nt
Filed under: uncultured Pelotomaculum sp.
Lineage: Bacteria; Bacillati; Bacillota; Clostridia; Eubacteriales; Desulfotomaculaceae
Description: bacterial SSU rRNA
Rfam family: Bacterial small subunit ribosomal RNA
Source: RNAcentral